CACGCCGUAAACGAUGAGUGCUAGACGUUGGAAGGUUUACCUUUCAGUGUCGCAGCUAACGCAUGAAGCACUCCGCCUGGGGAGUACGGUCGCAAGAUUAAAACUCAAAGGAAUUGACGGGGGCCCGCACAAGCGGUGGAGUAUGUGGUUUAAUUCGACGCAACGCGAAGAACCUUACCAGCUCUUGACAUGGGAAGUAUGGGUCACAGAAAUGAGAUCCUUCAGUUCGGCUGGCUUCCACACAGGUGC
Molecule: ribosomal RNA, 249 nt
Filed under: uncultured bacterium
Lineage: Bacteria
Description: partial 16S ribosomal RNA
Rfam family: Bacterial small subunit ribosomal RNA
Source: RNAcentral